Long non-coding RNA from Hyla sarda, 621 nucleotides. RefSeq lists it as uncharacterized. The transcript is spliced from 3 exons. The record is from RefSeq and is a predicted model, not a curated record. Lineage: Eukaryota; Metazoa; Chordata; Amphibia; Anura; Hylidae.
UGUGAAUGCAGCCUUAAGUAGGAGAAUAAGACCAUCAGGACUAUCCUGAAAUUGCAUCUACGGUGACCAUGUCUUUGGACACCUAGAGGGACAAGGACAGAGAAGAGAAAUGUAGGCUCUAGUCACCAUCAACAGAAACCAGAGGGGAGAACGUUUUUACAUCUUGGUGGAGAUCUCAUAGUGAUGAAUAGAACUCCACAGAUGGAGCCCUCAGCAGAGCCGCAUCGCCAACUGGUGGAGUCCACAUGUGGCCAAAUAGCAUGAAGCCGGAUGGGCACCCCAUACCCCCUAGACAAGAUGAUGGUCCUAUUGGAAGACCUUUGACGGCUGCGCUGGAGCCAAUUGCAAAUCAUCUUCCUACUUAGCAACACAAGAAGGAGGCAGCUGGUCUGGAGGAGAAUCCAGCACUGAAAAACGAUCAUCUGUCCAAUCAACAAUGAAGAGAGACCGAGACAAGAUGGCCGACAGGAUCAUAAACCUCACCCUAAAGAUACUCUUCCUGCUUACUGGAGAGGAUUACACAGUAGUGAAGAAGUCCUCUAGUGGGCGCUGUCGGGCCCUUGUGUGUGAAGGACGGGGAAGAACCCUGAGCCCAAUCCCAGGGCCCCCACCUCACUCCCU